This 425-nucleotide ribosomal RNA is filed under the name uncultured bacterium. Its description in RNAcentral is "bacterial SSU rRNA". It matches the Rfam family "Bacterial small subunit ribosomal RNA", at positions 356 to 773 of the family's 1533-position model. The record is from RNAcentral.
GGGGAAUUUUGGACAAUGGGCGCAAGCCUGAUCCAGCAAUGCCGCGUGCAGGAAGAAGGCCUUCGGGUUGUAAACUGCUUUUGUCAGGGAAGUAAUCUUCUGGGUUAAUACCUCGGGAGGAUGACGGUACCUGAAGAAUAAGCACCGGCUAACUACGUGCCAGCAGCCGCGGUAAUACGUAGGGUGCGAGCGUUAAUCGGAAUUACUGGGCGUAAAGCGUGCGCAGGCGGCUUUGCAAGACAGAGGUGAAAUCCCCGGGCUCAACCUGGGAACUGCCUUUGUGACUGCAAGGCUAGAGUACGGCAGAGGGGGAUGGAAUUCCGCGUGUAGCAGUGAAAUGCGUAGAUAUGCGGAGGAACACCAAUGGCGAAGGCAAUCCCCUGGGCCUGUACUGACGCUCAUGCACGAAAGCGUGGGGAGCAAAC